CUAGGAACAGCCAAAGGGGCAUAAGGAUGUAGUAAGAGAGACUAAAUUAGGGCCAUUGAAUCAAACACCCUGCUCUCCAUAAUGGCCAACCAGAUGCCUUCUAGGAGAGGCCCACAUGGUGGACAUGGGAACAGAAGCCCUUCUCUGCUGGUGUGCCAUCAAAAUACCUCUGGAAGUAAAAGCUUUUAUUGAACUGUAUCAAAGGUGAGCGGGUUCUGAAGGAAAAGACCCCUCAAAGGGGUUGGCCAACUGUCCAGGUCCAGACUCUGCCUGGGAAAGCAGCAUAACAGACAACAGACCGGCGGGUGUUGACACGCUUCCCCCCAUUCCCAUGGCUUCACCUGUUAAUAACUGACCUAGUUUCCACAUCAUGUUAAGCCAAACCAUAGUUUAUAGUGAACGUGCAAGUGCGUGGGCUCUGCAAGAUGAGAUUGUGGCUGCUUUGCUCCUCCCUGGUCAUUCUGUUGCUGCACCGUGCUGUGUUAAGCCAUGGUCUUGCUUAAUGUGUCAUCUGAACCUGGUUUAGCUCUGCAGGACAAAACCAUGAGUCAUAAACCACAGGACAAUUCGUGAAUAAAACACAUGGUUAGUUUUGAGAAAGCAAAACCAUGAACACAGGUUCAGAUGACACCCUAAGUUAGCACUUGCAGAAUUAAACAUUCUUACACCUUGCUUCACCUUGGUCUCCUAAUGUUAGAAUGCCAGGGUUGAGGUGGAGAGACUCUCUGAGAAUAUGUAUGCUAUUGUUUGCAAGUAUAUUCCUGUUAGGAGAGAAUAUAUUUGAGAACUUUCCUCCAGAAUUAUUCCAGCGCUGAUUUAUAUAACCAAGGUCUGCAUAAUAAAGGUUCGACUGUGAUCAUGCCCUUCAGGGCUUUCCUUCAUGAAGAACAUGUCAUAAACAUUCGUUUUCUUGUAGCAGUGAAACAAAAAUAGUCACGGCGACUGAUAUGCCACGGAACGCCCUGCCAUGCUCCGAGCAGUGCAUCCACCCACUUGCAUGCUUCGAGAGCAGGAGCACACCCUCCUGUCGCCUUCUGUAUUCCCCUGAGAGACAAAGAUGGAAGAGACAACUGAGGAAAUUAAGGUAGACAGCUCAGAGAUACACAUACACUCUGACAUACAAUGCAGAAGAAGACAAACUCACAAGGAAAACUCACACAGCCCAUUAAAGAUGGUAUCAUCAGUGUGUUUGCACUGUAUACUUAUCCCCACUCCCUCCAAAUGAUGACUAUUCAUAGCACUGUUUCUCGUCUUCAGUGUGGGCCAUACCAAAGCCAGUUAUAGAGCAGUCUAGGAAAGAGUCCUGACAUUGUUAAAUGGAAAACGAGCGAGGUCCCAACCAAAGAAGAAUAGCAACUUAAAUUGACAGAAUAUGCGCAGCUUGCAGACUUAACAAAUAAAAUAAGAGAACAAGAAGAACAUACGUUUAGAGAAGAUUGGAAAAUGUUUAUUGAAUAUAACUGUGUACAGCUGAGGACACUGGCAACAUUAAGAUAAAUUCAACAGUGUAAAUAAGUUUUGAUGGAUGUAAUAAUGGAAUACUGAACGGUAUAGUUUUUGUAAAAUAUGCAGGGAUUUAUGAUAUGUAGAAUGAACCAUGGAAAGAGAAGAGAGGAAGUCACUGAUAUCUUAAGGAUGUAAAAAUGAGUAUUUUAAAUUGAAAAACAGAA
Podarcis lilfordi (Lilford's wall lizard) is the source of this 1670-nucleotide non-coding RNA. NCBI's taxonomy places the organism in Eukaryota, Metazoa, Chordata, Lepidosauria, Squamata, Lacertidae. The record is from the annotation of a GenBank genome assembly.